This 71-nucleotide transfer RNA is filed under the name bacterium. RNAcentral describes it as "tRNA-Trp". It matches the Rfam family "tRNA". From Rfam's summary of the family: Transfer RNA (tRNA) molecules are approximately 80 nucleotides in length. RNAcentral also lists the same sequence under 2 other names. The record is from RNAcentral.
GCGGGUGUAGUAUAGUGGCAGUACAGGAGUUUCCAAAACUUCUAGCGGGGGUUCGAUUCCCUCCACCCGUG